Molecule: non-coding RNA, 85 nt
Filed under: unclassified sequences
Source: RNAcentral
AAAUGCUUGCCGCCGGGUAAGAGCAGGAGCGUUGAUUUCGCAUCGUUAGGCCGUUGAAGAUGCGAAGGUCAAUGCUUUUCUUUUG